This 250-nucleotide long non-coding RNA is filed under the name Pectinophora gossypiella (pink bollworm). RNAcentral's name for it is "uncharacterized LOC126367937". The record is from RNAcentral. Lineage: Eukaryota; Metazoa; Arthropoda; Insecta; Lepidoptera; Gelechiidae.
UUUUUGUUAAGUUUGUGUUUGGGUUAGGUUUGGGUUUGGGUUAGGUUUGGGUUUUGUUAAGUUUGGGUUUGGGUUAGGUUUGGGUUUGGGUUAGGCUUGGGUUUGGUUUUAUUUUUGUUAGGUUUGGGUUUUUUUGGGUUGGGUUUUGUUCAGUUUGGGUUUUGUUAGGUUUGGGUCUCUUAGGUUUGGGUUUUGUUAUGUUUGGGUUUCGUUAGGUUUGGGUUUUGUUAGGUUUGGUUUUUAGGUUUGG